GAUGAAGAACGCAGUGAAAUGCGAUAAGUAGUGUGAAUUGCAGAAUUCAGUGAAUCAUCGAAUCUUUGAACGCACAUUGCGCCCCUCGGUAUUCCGUGGGGCAUGCCUGUUCGAGCGUCAUUUAACCCCUCAAGCCUAGCUUGGUAUUGGGUGCUUGUCCCGCCUCUCGCGCGGCGACUCACCUCAAAGUCAUUGGCAGCCCGCAUCUCGCCGGCCGUGAGCGCAGCACAGACGCGCUCUUGGCAACGACGGAUCGGCUCUCCAAAAGCUUAUUUCAACCACUGACCUCGGAUCAGGUAGGGAUACCCGCUGAACUUAAGCAUAUCAAUAAGCGGACGA
This 339-nucleotide unclassified non-coding RNA is filed under the name soil metagenome. RNAcentral's name for it is "partial contains 5.8S ribosomal RNA, internal transcribed spacer 2, and large subunit ribosomal RNA". The stretch from base 1 to 120 matches the Rfam family "5.8S ribosomal RNA", at positions 35 to 154 of the family's 154-position model. The record is from RNAcentral.